AGAGAGAGACAUGCGCGCAUAUCAAUAAGCGGAGGAAAAGAAACUAACAAUGGAUUCCCUCAGUAACGGCGAGUGAAGCGGGAAGAGCUCAAAUUUGGAAUCUUCAAGGUUUUACCUUGACGAAUUGUAGUUUAAAGAAGUGUUUUCUGCUGAAGUUUUGGUAAAAGUUCUUUGGAAUAGGACAUCAUAGAGGGUGAGAAUCCCGUAUUUGACCAUUAUUUUCAGCUUUGUGAUACACUUUCAAAGAGUCGGAUUGUUUGGGAAUGCAGUCCAAAAUGGGUGGUAAAUUUCAUCUAAAGCUAAAUAUUGGCGAGAGACCGAUAGCGAACAAGUACCGUGAGGGAAAGAUGAAAAGAACUUUGAAAAGAGAGUUAAACAGUACGUGAAAUUGUCAAAAGGGAAGCGUUUGACACCAGUGUUGUUUUCUCGAAAAUCAGUUAAAAAUGGCUCGAUUUUGUAUUGCUGAGACCUUAAAAGCUCACUGUACAUUUUUCGUGUCUUUUUUAAUGCACUUUCCGUUUAACAAGUCAACAUCAGUUUCUUUUGUUGUAAAAGGGUCAUUGGAAGGUGGCUUUCUUUUCGGAGAAAGUGUUUAUAGCCUUUGGCCUCUGCAAUCGGAGAGACUGAGGUCUGCAGCGUAGACUCUUCGGGGUUAGAUACAUUUGUGCUAAGUUAUAGCUUUUUAUAGACAACUUGUUGACUAUAAUUAGUCUUGUAGCUUACCUCGCUUAUGCUAUUUUACCUACGCUUAGGAUGUUGAAGAUGUAGCACAUCAU
RNAcentral lists this ribosomal RNA (776 nucleotides) under uncultured Neocallimastigales. RNAcentral describes it as "partial large subunit ribosomal RNA". It matches the Rfam family "Eukaryotic large subunit ribosomal RNA", at positions 23 to 634 of the family's 3401-position model. Lineage: Eukaryota; Fungi; Neocallimastigomycota; Neocallimastigomycetes; Neocallimastigales. The record is from RNAcentral.